This 228-nucleotide ribosomal RNA is filed under the name uncultured bacterium. Its description in RNAcentral is "partial 16S ribosomal RNA". It matches the Rfam family "Bacterial small subunit ribosomal RNA", at positions 568 to 796 of the family's 1533-position model. The record is from RNAcentral.
UGCGUAGGCGGGGUAAUAAGUCAGUGGUGAAAGUCUGCAGCUUAACUGUAGAAUUGCCAUUGAUACUGUUAUCCUUGAGUAUAGUUGAGGUGGGCGGAAUGUGUCAUGUAGCGGUGAAAUGCUUAGAUAUGACACAGAACACCGAUUGCGUGGCAGCUCACUAAACUAUUACUGACGCUGAGGCACGAAAGCGUGGGGAGCGAACAGGAUUAGAUACCCUGGUAGUCC